Molecule: ribosomal RNA, 254 nt
Filed under: uncultured bacterium
Lineage: Bacteria
Description: partial 16S ribosomal RNA
Rfam family: Bacterial small subunit ribosomal RNA
Source: RNAcentral
CACGUAGGCACCAAGCGUUGUCCGGAUUUAUUGGGCGUAAAGAGCUCGUAGACGGUUUAGUAAGUCGGGUGUGAAAACUCUGGUCUUAACCCAGAGACGCCACCCGAUACUGCUGUGACUUGAGUACGGUAGGGGAGCAGGGAAUUCCUGGUGUAGCGGUGAAAUGCGCAGAUAUCAGGAGGAACACCAAUAGCGAAGGCAGCUCGCUGGGACGUUACUGACACUGAGGCGCGAAAGCGUGGGGAGCGAACAGG